RNAcentral lists this ribosomal RNA (552 nucleotides) under Tenebrio molitor (yellow mealworm). Its description in RNAcentral is "eukaryotic LSU rRNA". It matches the Rfam family "Eukaryotic large subunit ribosomal RNA", at positions 704 to 1213 of the family's 3401-position model. The record is from RNAcentral. Lineage: Eukaryota; Metazoa; Arthropoda; Insecta; Coleoptera; Tenebrionidae.
AAACCUAAAGGCGUAAUGAAAGUGAAAGUCCGCCUAGCGCGGACUCAGGGAGGAUGGGUGGUCCUCUGUGGACCGCCUCGCACUCCCGGGGCGUCUCGUUCUCAUUGCGAGAAGAGGCGCACCAAGAGCGUACACGCUGGGACCCGAAAGAUGGUGAACUAUGCCUGGUCAGGACGAAGUCAGGGGAAACCCUGAUGGAGGUCCGUAGCGAUUCUGACGUGCAAAUCGAUCGUCGGAACUGGGUAUAGGGGCGAAAGACUAAUCGAACCAUCUAGUAGCUGGUUCCCUCCGAAGUUUCCCUCAGGAUAGCUGGCUCUCGUAUUAUACGAGUUUCAUCCGGUAAAGCGAAUGAUUAGAGGCAUUGGGGUCGAAACGGCCUCAACCUAUUCUCAAACUUUAAAUGGGUGAGAUCUCCGGCUUGCUCGAAUUCUUCGUGAAGCCGCGAGAAUCGAAUCAGAGUGCCAAGUGGGCCAUUUUUGGUAAGCAGAACUGGCGCUGUGGGAUGAACCAAACGCAGAGUUAAAGCGCCUAAAUCGACGCUUAUGGGAUACC